RNAcentral lists this small RNA (864 nucleotides) under Staphylococcus aureus. RNAcentral's name for it is "Transcript". The record is from RNAcentral. Lineage: Bacteria; Bacillati; Bacillota; Bacilli; Caryophanales; Staphylococcaceae.
ACCUUUAUAAAUAUCUUUUAGCACGCGUAAUUGCUGAUAAGGUUGAUUCAUUCGACUUGGUUUACCAUCUUUAUCAACUGUAAUUUCAUUGACAUCUUCAUUCAUAUUUAAAACACCAUUAAAUGUCCCUGCAAUAUUCACUUGUUUGUUUAACUGUGGCAGUGACUUGUCGUUACCAUAUGUCAUCAUAUAUUGUGCAAAUGUUAAGUUCCCCAUUGAGUGACCGACAAAGUUGAAUUUAUCGAAAUUGUAUUCAGAUUGUAACUUAGUCAGUACAUUUUUAAACCACGCAGCAUUCUUAUCCAAAUAGCCUUGUCUGUUAUUUUCAAGUUCAAUUUUUACAAUAGGAUUCACUGCAUCUUUUCUUAGUUCCCCUUUAAAUGUCACUGCACCAUCCUUUGAAACGUAAGCAGUGAUGAUAUCUUUAGUUACCCCUCUUUUUUCUGCUUGCUUCACCAUAAACUUUUCAGAAUUGGCACUACCACCAAAUCCAUGUAAGAACAAUGUUGGAAUUGGCUUUUUAACAAAUUGCUGUUGUUGUAUUUUAAAUGUUUGUGCCUGUCGUUGACUAAACACCACCGUAAUAAUAGAGCCUAUAAUAAUAGCGACCGCUAACAAUGUCGUAAUAAUUACAAAAAUUUUCUUCACACUUUUAACUCCCAUUCAUGUCUUUUAUAUAAGUAUAAAGGAUGUGAUUAAAAAUGUCCUUUAGUUGAUUUUGAAUACAUCAUUAACUUUUAAGAUGACUUUGGAAAGUUGUCCGUUAACGUUUGUUAAUUGAUUGCUUCUUUAGCUUUCAAUGGUGUGUCACCCAUUGAUUAAUAUAUAAAUAUGUAUAUGCAUGUUUAAUUUAUCUCUUUCUAU